Molecule: ribosomal RNA, 468 nt
Filed under: uncultured bacterium
Lineage: Bacteria
Description: SSU rRNA
Rfam family: Bacterial small subunit ribosomal RNA
Source: RNAcentral
AGGACGAACGCUGGCGGCGUGCUUAACACAUGCAAGUCGAGCGGAAAGGCCCUUCGGGGUACUCGAGCGGCGAACGGGUGAGUAACACGUGAGCAACCUGCCCUUAGCUCCGGGAUAGCUCCGGGAAACCGGAAUUAAUACCGGAUACGACCACGGCCGACAUCUGCUGUGGUGGAAAGGAUUCCGGCUAAGGAUGGGCUCGCGGCCUAUCAGCUAGUUGGUGGAGUAACGGCCCACCAAGGCGACGACGGGUAGCCGGCCUGAGAGGGCGACCGGCCACACUGGGACUGAGACACGGCCCAGACUCCUACGGGAGGCAGCAGUGGGGAAUAUUGCGCAAUGGGCGAAAGCCUGACGCAGCGACGCCGCGUGGGGAUGAAGGCCGUUCGGGUUGUAAACCCUUUCAGCAGGGACGAUAGUGACGGUACCUGCAGAAGAAGCACCGGCCAACUACGCGCCAGCAGCCGC